UCCGUAGGUGAACCUGCGGAAGGAUCAUUAUUGAAUAACUGAAGGGUUGUCGCUGGCUCUUCGGAGUAUGUGCACGCCUUUCAAAUUCAUCUUAACCACCUGUGCACCUUUGUAGACUAUGGCAACUCUCAGUUCUCGGACUGGAUAGAGGAACAUGCGCUUCAGCUGUUCUUCAAUGUCAUGGGCUACGUUUAUCUAUACACUAUAUAAAGUCCAGAAUGUCUGUUAUUAGGUCUUGUACCUUAUAAACUUAUACAACUUUCAACAACGGAUCUCUUGGCUCUCGCAUCGAUGAAGAACGCAGCGAAAUGCGAUAAGUAAUGUGAAUUGCAGAAUUCAGUGAAUCAUCGAAUCUUUGAACGCACCUUGCACUCCUUGGUAUUCCGAGGAGUAUGCCUGUUUGAGUGUCAUUAAAUUCUCAAAAUCUUAAAUUGUUAUCAUGACGACGCAAGAUUUUGGAUGUGGGGAUUGCAGGCUGUAAUGGUUUGCUUCUCUUAAAAGCAUUAGUGGUUACUGUUCCCCACUUUGGUGUGAUAAUUAUCUACGCCUAUAGGUGGGGAUGUUAAGUGUAACUGCUUUCAAACCGUCUAAGAUUAUUGGACAAUUUGAACCAUUUGACCUCAAAUCAGGUAGGAUUACCCGCUGAACUUAAGCGUAUCAAUAAGCGGAGGAAAAGAAACUAACAAGGAUUCCCCUAGUAACUGCGAGUGAAGCGGGAAAAGCUCAAAUUUAAAAUCUGGUGGUUCUGCCAUCCGAAUUGUAAUUUAGAGAAGUGUUAUCCGUGCUGGACCGUGUACAAGUCUCCUGGAAUGGAGCGUCAUAGAGGGUGAGAAU
Molecule: ribosomal RNA, 834 nt
Filed under: uncultured Pleurotopsis
Lineage: Eukaryota; Fungi; Basidiomycota; Agaricomycetes; Agaricales; Tricholomataceae
Description: eukaryotic LSU rRNA
Rfam family: Eukaryotic large subunit ribosomal RNA (bases 616-834)
Source: RNAcentral